GAUGAACGCUGGCGGUAUGCCUAACACAUGCAAGUCGUACGAGAGUUUUUAACUCUAGUGGCGGACGGGUGAGUAACACGUGAGAAUUUGCCUUUAGGAGGGGGAUAACAAUUGGAAACGAAUGCUAAUACCCCAUAUGCUUUUGAGUGAAACGGAUUUAUCCGCCUAGAGAGAAGCUCGCGGCUGAUUAGCUUGUUGGUAAGGUAAGAGCUUACCAAGGCGACGAUCAGUAUCUGGUUUGAGAGGACGAUCAGACACACUGGAACUGAGACACGGUCCAGACUCCUACGGGAGGCAGCAGUGGGGAAUUUUCCGCAAUGGGCGAAAGCCUGACGGAGCAAUACCGCGUGAGGGAAGACUGCCUAUGGGUUGUAAACCUCUUUUUUCAGGGUAGGAAGUAAAUGACGUGUACCUGAAGAAUAAGCAUCGGCUAACUCCGUG
RNAcentral lists this ribosomal RNA (441 nucleotides) under uncultured bacterium. RNAcentral's name for it is "bacterial SSU rRNA". It matches the Rfam family "Bacterial small subunit ribosomal RNA", at positions 28 to 507 of the family's 1533-position model. The record is from RNAcentral.